RNAcentral lists this ribosomal RNA (253 nucleotides) under uncultured bacterium. Its description in RNAcentral is "partial 16S ribosomal RNA". It matches the Rfam family "Bacterial small subunit ribosomal RNA", at positions 524 to 776 of the family's 1533-position model. The record is from RNAcentral.
UACGGGGGGGGCAAGCGUUGUUCGGAAUUACUGGGCGUAAAGGGCUCGUAGGCGGCCCACUAAGUCAGACGUGAAAUCCCUCGGCUUAACCGGGGAACUGCGUCUGAUACUGGAGGGCUUGAAUUCGGGAGAGGGAUGCAGAAUUCCAGGUGUAGCGGUGAAAUGCGCAGAUAUCAGGAAGAACACCCGUGGCGAAGGCGGCUCUCUGGGACGGUACUGACGCUGAGACGCGAAAGCGUGGGGAGCGAACAGG